RNAcentral lists this ribosomal RNA (448 nucleotides) under uncultured bacterium. RNAcentral describes it as "SSU rRNA". It matches the Rfam family "Bacterial small subunit ribosomal RNA", at positions 26 to 518 of the family's 1533-position model. The record is from RNAcentral.
AGAACGAACGCUGGCGGCAUGCCUAACACAUGCAAGUCGAACGCGUGUAGCAAUACACGAGUGGCGCACGGGUGAGUAACACGUGGGAACCUGCCCUGGAGUGGGGGAUAACCGAGGGAAACCUCGGCUAAUACCGCAUACGACCUGAGGGUGAAAGAUUUAUCGCUCUAGGAGGGGCCCGCGUCGGAUUAGCUAGUUGGUGAAGUAAUGGCUCACCAAGGCUAUGAUCCGUAGCUGGUCUGAGAGGAUGAUCAGCCACACUGGGACUGAGACACGGCCCAGACUCCUACGGGAGGCAGCAGUGGGGAAUAUUGGACAAUGGGGGCAACCCUGAUCCAGCAAUGCCGCGUGAGUGAUGAAGGCCUUAGGGUUGUAAAGCUCUUUCGGCGGGGACGAUGAUGACGGUACCCGCAGAAGAAGCCCCGGCUAACUUCGUGCCAGCAGCCGC